CUCUUCUGUGAAUGCAGGCUCAGGGACCAGACCACUUUGAUUUUAAUCCCAGAUAUGCUACUUUCUAGCCGAGACUUUGGGCAAGAAAUUCUCUCUAUGCCUCCCCUUAUAUGUAAAAUCAAGAUAGUAACAGUACCUACUUAGAAUAUGGUUGUGAGAAUUAAAUGGAAUAAUACAAGUGACUUAAUUGUCAGAGCGAUGAGCACAUCAGAGGUCCUCAAUGGAGACUACCUGCUUUAAUGAAGAUAUGUCCUAUGGAAGGCCCUUAGCUAUUAGUGUAUUAUGGUCACUGAACCAGUACUCUGCAGGAUUUCCAGCUUCUGUUAAAGGGUAAUGACCUUUCCUCAUGCAUCUGCUUUUUCAAAAUGAACAAAAGUGCUGUUCUUAGAUAAGCAUUUGUGAUUUUAUCUUUUUAUGGAGACUUUGGAAAGAUUUGCUCUGAUUUCCAACCUCGAAUACUCUUGGAAAAUAUCUGUAUUAUUUUUACUCUAUUGGAUUUUAAUGUGUGUUUUAGAAAACAACAUCUGCAGAUAGAUGGUGUUGCACAACAAUGUGAAUAUCCUUAAUACCACAAAACUGCACUUAAAAAUGGUUACAAUGGUAACUUUUAUGUUAUGUGUGUUUUACAGCAAUUAAAAAAUAAGACAAUAACAGAACUGUGGUUUGUAUUAAAGAUCUAGUAACUCUAAUUAAAGAAAAAGGAAAGGAAGAAAAUGGUCUCUAAAUGUUUAUAGGCCCUACUAGCAUCUCUGUAGCUAAUCUGGUUUGUUUAUAGAGUACUAGAGUCUUACUCAAAAUUAUAAGCUUUGUUUAUAAACCCAAGCUCACUGAGACAGACUGAUGAGGCUGCUGAAGUUACCAUUAAAGCUACAGGAACUUUUAAGAAAGUUUUUGAAGACACACUGUGUCUGAAGGGACCAUGAAAAGUUAAUGAUCAUACUUGCCUGUGUUACCAGAUGUCUUAGUCUGUUUUGUGUGGCUGUAACAGAAUGUGACAAACUUGGUAAUUUAUAAUAUAAAGAACAGAAAUUACUUUUCUCACAGUUCUGGAGGCCAAGAAGCCCAAGAUCAAGGUGCUGGCAGGCUUGGUGUCUGGUAAGGGCCUGGAGUGCUUAAGAGGGAUUUCUUCCAGCUCUCUUGCCCUGGUCUUCAGUGUAUUAGAUGUAUUACCUCCAUGCUCUCAGUAGAGGCCCAUAGGAAAGAGUAGGUAGGUUAUGCCAGCUCACACGCAUCCUUUAAAAAUGGUUUAGAAGUUUAGCUGGUUUCUUAUUACUCCUGUCUAUGGAUGUUUCCUUCUGUCACUCUACUAGGGAUGAAACAGCUAAUCAUGUUCAAUAGUUACAUUUAGAUUGGUUUUUAAAAACUAUGAUUGUAUUAGUUCGUUUCCAUGCUGCUGAUAAAGACAUAUCUGAGACUGGAAACAAAAAG
This 1428-nucleotide long non-coding RNA is filed under the name Homo sapiens (human). RNAcentral's name for it is "HSALNT0359408". The record is from RNAcentral. Lineage: Eukaryota; Metazoa; Chordata; Mammalia; Primates; Hominidae.